GUAGGGAAUAUUGGGCAAUGGAUGCAAGUCUGACCCAGCCAUCCCGCGUGCCGGAAGAAGGCCCUCAGGGUUGUAAACGGCUUUUGACGGUGAAGAAUCGACAGGAUGCGUCCUGUUUUGACGGUAGCCGUUGAAUAAGCACCGGCUAACUCCGUGCCAGCAGCCGCGGUAAUACGGAGGGUGCGAGCGUUGUCCGGAUUUAUUGGGUUUAAAGGGUGCGUAGGCUGGAAGGUCAGUCAGCGGUGAAAAGCUGUCGCUUAACGAUAGUCUUGCCGCAGAUACUUCCUUUCUUUGAUGAGGAGGAGGCCACUGGAACGGAUGGUGUAGCGGUGAAAUGCAUAGAUAUCAUCCAGAACACCGAUUGCGAAGGCAGGUGGCUGUACCUUAAUCGACGCUGAUGCACGAAAGCAUGGGGAGCAAACAGGAUUAGAAACCCGAGUAGUCC
RNAcentral lists this ribosomal RNA (445 nucleotides) under uncultured bacterium. RNAcentral's name for it is "partial 16S ribosomal RNA". It matches the Rfam family "Bacterial small subunit ribosomal RNA", at positions 354 to 796 of the family's 1533-position model. The record is from RNAcentral.